ACAGAAAUUACUGACAAUUCAGUGACAAACUGUCUCAGCACUGGAAAUAUUGUGCUCAUUAUUUCUGGUACUCCAUGGAUUCUGUUGGGCAGGCAGCCAUCUUUAAAUCGUCAUUCCUGGACAGCACUGGGAAGAUUCUGCUCGGUUUUCUCCGGUUCUGCAUGGAUUCUGUCUCGAAGGAAGCCGUCUUUCCAAUCGUCCCUCUGGGAUAGGUUCCAAGAGGAAAAUGUGAGAAAACUUGAAUCUUGAGGCAAGACAUUCUUUGAAAACUAUGUUAAUUCAUUGUGAAUAGUGGAAAUAUAUACAAUAACUAUUUAAAAGAUAUAUUUAGCCAGUUGAUUAAAGUCAUCUCUCCACCAUCGCACACAUCCUCUCCUGUCAUCUCAGUGACUCUCUACCAAGGUUAUUGU
Long non-coding RNA from Cynocephalus volans (Philippine flying lemur), 410 nucleotides. RefSeq lists it as uncharacterized. Lineage: Eukaryota; Metazoa; Chordata; Mammalia; Dermoptera; Cynocephalidae. The transcript is spliced from 4 exons. The record is from RefSeq and is a predicted model, not a curated record.